This 295-nucleotide long non-coding RNA is filed under the name Manihot esculenta (cassava). RNAcentral's name for it is "long non-coding RNA (MESC_LNC001848)". Lineage: Eukaryota; Viridiplantae; Streptophyta; Magnoliopsida; Malpighiales; Euphorbiaceae. The record is from RNAcentral.
UGGGCUUUAGAGCUCACCCCUCUCCCCUAACCCCAGAUGUGCAGGUACAGGGUAGAUCAUGAGGUUAGCCAGAGUUAGAAGUCAUCUUGUUGUAAUAGUUAGAAAGUGGACAUGACAACGAUUGUAUUAUAACAAUUGUAUUUGAUGUAAUGUAAGAAAUGGUAUAGUAUGUUAUGUAAUGAGAUUAUUGAGGUUAUAGUUGUGCUUGACUCUAUGAGUUAUAGUUAUUCCGUUGUUACAUGAUCUAUAGAAAUGUCACUAUGAUGUUUAUCAUAGUCCAAGCUUAAUGUAUGAU